RNAcentral lists this ribosomal RNA (765 nucleotides) under uncultured Streptococcus sp. RNAcentral describes it as "bacterial SSU rRNA". It matches the Rfam family "Bacterial small subunit ribosomal RNA", at positions 28 to 776 of the family's 1533-position model. The record is from RNAcentral. Lineage: Bacteria; Bacillati; Bacillota; Bacilli; Lactobacillales; Streptococcaceae.
GAUGAACGCUGGCGGCGUGCCUAAUACAUGCAAGUAGAACGCUGAAGCUUGGUGCUUGCACCGAGCGGAUGAGUUGCGAACGGGUGAGUAACGCGUAGGUAACCUGCCUCUUAGCGGGGGAUAACUAUUGGAAACGAUAGCUAAUACCGCAUAAAAGUCGACAUUGCAUGAUGUUGACUUGAAAGGUGCAACUGCAUCACUAAGAGAUGGACCUGCGUUGUAUUAGCUAGUUGGUGAGGUAACGGCUCACCAAGGCGACGAUACAUAGCCGACCUGAGAGGGUGAUCGGCCACACUGGGACUGAGACACGGCCCAGACUCCUACGGGAGGCAGCAGUAGGGAAUCUUCGGCAAUGGACGGAAGUCUGACCGAGCAACGCCGCGUGAGUGAAGAAGGUUUUCGGAUCGUAAAGCUCUGUUGUAAGAGAAGAACGAGUGUGAGAGUGGAAAGUUCACACUGUGACGGUAACUUACCAGAAAGGGACGGCUAACUACGUGCCAGCAGCCGCGGUAAUACGUAGGUCCCGAGCGUUAUCCGGAUUUAUUGGGCGUAAAGCGAGCGCAGGCGGUUAGAUAAGUCUGAAGUUAAAGGCUGUGGCUUAACCAUAGUACGCUUUGGAAACUGUUUAACUUGAGUGCAGAAGGGGAGAGUGGAAUUCCAUGUGUAGCGGUGAAAUGCGUAGAUAUAUGGAGGAACACCGGUGGCGAAAGCGGCUCUCUGGUCUGUAACUGACGCUGAGGCUCGAAAGCGUGGGGAGCAAACAGG